GACGAACGCUGGCGGCGUGCUUAACACAUGCAAGUCGAACGGAAAGGCCCUGCUUUUGUGGGGUGCUCGAGUGGCGAACGGGUGAGUAACACGUGAGUAACCUGCCCUUGACUUUGGGAUAACUUCAGGAAACUGGGGCUAAUACCGGAUAGGAGCUCCUGCUGCAUGGUGGGGGUUGGAAAGUUUCGGCGGUUUGGGAUGGACUCGCGGCUUAUCAGCUUGUUGGUGGGGUAGUGGCUUACCAAGGCUUUGACGGGUAGCCGGCCUGAGAGGGUGACCGGCCACAUUGGGACUGAGAGACGGCCCAGACUCCUACGGGAGGCAGCAGUGGGGAAUAUUGCACAAUGGGAGGAAGCCUGAUGCAGCAACGCCGCGUGCGGGAUGACGGCCGUCGGGUUGUAAACCGCUUUCGCCUGUGACGAAGAGUGAGUGACGGUAAUGGGUAAAGAAGCACCGGCUAACUACGU
This 467-nucleotide ribosomal RNA is filed under the name uncultured bacterium. Its description in RNAcentral is "partial 16S ribosomal RNA". It matches the Rfam family "Bacterial small subunit ribosomal RNA", at positions 28 to 506 of the family's 1533-position model. The record is from RNAcentral.